Molecule: long non-coding RNA, 988 nt
Organism: Syngnathoides biaculeatus (alligator pipefish)
Lineage: Eukaryota; Metazoa; Chordata; Actinopteri; Syngnathiformes; Syngnathidae
Exons: 3
Source: RefSeq, a predicted model, not a curated record
AGAUGGCAGACGAGACCCUGAGCUGGAGAUGCUUGGAGGAGCUUGGAUGAAUUUACAUUAAUAAACGCAAUGUGAAGUUCAAAAUUGACACGGGUGCUGAUGUCACAGUCUUUCCACACAGUGUUCCAAAGGAUAUACAAGGACCACUCACCCACACUCAAGAAGGCAACAAAGUCACUGCUUGGACCAGUAGGAGUCCGCUUGAAGUGGUGGGCGUCGCCAGGCUGCUGCUGAGGAAAGCGUGGGGUUCAUCGAGAUCAAGUGCACGAGUGUCUGCACUGGAAGAAAGAGACAGCUCAUAAGAAAGGGAAGGUAUUCUGGAGCUCAAAAAAUCACAGGGAACAGACUUUGAAAGCUGGCAAAUAUCACAGAAAUGUUACUCUCCCAGAAUUAGUGGCAAGUUGGUUUUCAAGAAAUCCAGACUUGAUCUGUGAAGCCAGCAGAUGUAACCAGAAGUGACACAGCAAGUGGAGUAUGCUACUGCAGAAAGCCCAUUGAUAACAAACUGAUUGUGAGUUCUCAUCUGGCUUGUGUAAAAUUGUUAAGUUUCACAUAAAUUGCCUCCAAGUGAAAAAUGUUCCAAAGAGGAAGUGGACAUGCCCAGACUGGAGAAAAAUUCUGAAUUUUCAAAAGUCAAAUUAAGAGAUAUGUUAAUUUUGAAAACCUAGUGUUCUUCCUGAAGGUUUUAUUGUAUUUUUUUUCUUUUAAUAGAAUCCAAAUAGUUGUACAUUCAUUGUUUAUGUAGCCAAAUUGCACAUUUUGUAUGUGUACUUGUAUGUAUGUACCAGUGCACGUAUGUAUCUCAAUGUUAAGUUGUUUGGAAUUCUAACUUUGUGAAAACACAAGAGAAAGAUAAUUUUCAAAUGCAAACAAUAUCUUUAAUCAUCUCGCUUUUUUUGUAUUCAAAAAAGUUGGAAUGCACAGGACACAAAUUUGUAUAAAAUUAUUAUGUGCACCAAUAUUCGUCACAAAUGUUUUAUCACUCAUA